UACGAAGGGGGCUAGCGUUGCUCGGAAUUACUGGGCGUAAAGCGCACGUAGGCGGCUAUUCAAGUCGGGGGUGAAAGCCCGGGGCUCAACCCCGGAACUGCCCUCGAAACUAGGUAGCUAGAAUCUUGGAGAGGUCAGUGGAAUUCCGAGUGUAGAGGUGAAAUUCGUAGAUAUUCGGAAGAACACCAGUGGCGAAGGCGACUGACUGGACAAGUAUUGACGCUGAGGUGCGAAAGCGUGGGGAGCAAACAGG
Molecule: ribosomal RNA, 253 nt
Filed under: uncultured bacterium
Lineage: Bacteria
Description: partial 16S ribosomal RNA
Rfam family: Bacterial small subunit ribosomal RNA
Source: RNAcentral